UACAGAGGGUGCAAGCGUUGUUCGGAAUUAUUGGGCGUAAAGGGCGCGUAGGCGGUGCGGUAAGUCUGUAGUGAAAUCUCUGGGCUCAACUCAGAGUCUGCUAUAGAAACUGCCGUGCUUGAGUGUGGGAGAGGUGAGUGGAAUUCCCGGUGUAGCGGUGAAAUGCGUAGAUAUCGGGAGGCAACACCGAAGGCGAAGGCAGCCCCCUGGGAUAUAACUGACGCUGCCAGGCACGAAAGGCGUGGGUAGCAAACAGG
RNAcentral lists this ribosomal RNA (257 nucleotides) under uncultured bacterium. RNAcentral's name for it is "partial 16S ribosomal RNA". It matches the Rfam family "Bacterial small subunit ribosomal RNA", at positions 524 to 776 of the family's 1533-position model. The record is from RNAcentral.